AACGAACGCUGGCGGCAUGCCUAACACAUGCAAGUCGAACGGGAUCCAGGCUUCGGCCUGGUGAGAGUGGCGGACGGGUGAGUAACACGUGGGAACCUGCCUUUUGGUUCGGGAUAACCGCGGGAAACUGCGGCUAAUACCGGAUGCUCCCGAGAGGGGAAAGAUUUAUCGCCAGAAGAGGGGCCCGCGUCCGAUUAGGUAGUUGGUGAGGUAAUGGCUCACCAAGCCGACGAUCGGUAGCUGGUCUGAGAGGAUGAUCAGCCACACUGGGACUGAGAUACGGCCCAGACUCCUACGGGAGGCAGCAGUGGGGAAUAUUGGACAAUGGGGGCAACCCUGAUCCAGCAAUGCCGCGUGAGUGAUGAAGCCUAGG
This 373-nucleotide ribosomal RNA is filed under the name uncultured bacterium. RNAcentral describes it as "bacterial SSU rRNA". It matches the Rfam family "Bacterial small subunit ribosomal RNA", at positions 29 to 423 of the family's 1533-position model. The record is from RNAcentral.